This 488-nucleotide ribosomal RNA is filed under the name Manga nubifera. RNAcentral describes it as "partial 28S large subunit ribosomal RNA". The record is from RNAcentral. Lineage: Eukaryota; Metazoa; Arthropoda; Insecta; Lepidoptera; Noctuidae.
AAGAACUUUGAAGAGAGAGUUCAAGAGUACGUGAAACCGUUCAGGGGUAAACCUGCGAAACUCGAAUGAACGAACGGAGAGAUUCAUCGUCAUUCCGCGGCGUACGGGCGCGCGCCUCGAUGCCGUCGGCCUCGGUCGGCAGGCACGGGUCGCGUCCGUCGACGUCCGCGGACGGCGUGCACUUCUCUCUUAGUAAAUACAUCGCGACCCGUUCGAUGUCGGUCUAAGCGCCGUACGGGAGCCCCGUUGGGACGGUUAACGCCGGACUAGCGGGACCGCGACGGUGGCCGACCGGCCGUCGGACGGUAGCCUUGGGGAAUCGCGCACGCGUUUUUGACGCGUCCGGCCCGACGCAAGUCAACGUCGUAUCCCGUGUCUACGCCCUGGUGCGGACGCGGGUGCGGCGCGUCUGCUGUCGCCGCCGUGCUGUCUCGGACUGUGCGCGUCUCUGUCUGCGAUGAUUCAGUUUCGGGCACUCGCAGGACCCG